CGGCAGGCUUAACACAUGCAAGUCGAGGGGCAGCACGAUGAGUAGCAAUACGAAUUGGUGGCGACCGGCAGACGGGUGCGUAACGCGUAUACAACCUACCCUUGAAAGGGGAAUAACCCGGAGAAAUUCGGACUAAUACCCCGCUAAGUAUUCGAUUGGCAUCGAUUGAAUAUGAGAGAUUUAUCGUUCAAGGAUGGGUACGCGUGACAUUAGGAAGUUGGUGAGGUAACGGCUCACCAAUCCGACGAUGUCUAGGGGUUCUGAGAGGAAGGUCCCCCACACUGGUACUGAGACACGGACCAGACUCCUACGGGAGGCAGCAGUGAGGAAUAUUGGUCAAUGGACGAGAGUCUGAACCAGCCAUGCCGCGUGCAGGAAGAAUGCUCUAUGAGUUGUAAACUGCUUUUAUACAAGAAUAAUAAGCACGACGUGUCGUGUGAUGAAUGUAUUGUAUGAAUAAGGACCGGCUAACUCCGUGCCAGCAGCCGCGGUAAUACGGAGGGUCCACCCGGGCUUGAAAGUUAGUGACCGGUGGUGAAAGCCACUUUUCCAGCAAUGGACACGAAACUAGGUGCUGCAUGGUUGUCGUCAGCUCGUGCCGUGAGGUGUCGGGUUAAGUCCCAUAACGAGCGCAACCCCCUGUCGUUAGUUGCUAGCAGGUAAUGCUGAGGACUCUAACGAGACUGCCGGUGUAAACCGAGAGGAAGGUGGGGAUGACGUCAAAUCAGCACGGCCCUUACGUCCGGGGCGACACACGUGUUACAAUGGAUGGUACAAAGGGUUGCAACAUAGCGAUAUGAAGCUAAUCUCAAAAAGCCAUUCUCAGUUCGGAUCGCAGGCUGAAACUCGCCUGCGUGAAGUUGGAUUCGCUAGUAAUCGCACAUCAGCCAUGGUGCGGUGAAUACGUUCCCGGGCCUUGUACACACCGCCCGUCAAGCCAUGGAAGUUGGGGGUGCCUGAAGUACGUGUGCGUCGCAGCAGC
RNAcentral lists this ribosomal RNA (982 nucleotides) under uncultured Eubacterium sp. Its description in RNAcentral is "bacterial SSU rRNA". It matches the Rfam family "Bacterial small subunit ribosomal RNA". Lineage: Bacteria; Bacillati; Bacillota; Clostridia; Eubacteriales; Eubacteriaceae. The record is from RNAcentral.